Molecule: ribosomal RNA, 441 nt
Filed under: uncultured bacterium
Lineage: Bacteria
Description: bacterial SSU rRNA
Rfam family: Bacterial small subunit ribosomal RNA
Source: RNAcentral
CCCUACGGGGGGCUGCAGUGGGGAAUAUUGGACAAUGGGCGCAAGCCUGAUCCAGCCAUGCCGCGUGAGUGAUGAAGGCCUUAGGGUUGUAAAGCUCUUUUGUCCGGGACGAUAAUGACGGUACCGGAAGAAUAAGCCCCGGCUAACUUCGUGCCAGCAGCCGCGGUAAUACGAAGGGGGCUAGCGUUGCUCGGAAUCACUGGGCGUAAAGGGCGCGUAGGCGGCCAUUCAAGUCGGGGGUGAAAGCCUGUGGCUCAACCACAGAAUUGCCUUCGAUACUGUUUGGCUUGAGUUUGGUAGAGGUUGGUGGAACUGCGAGUGUAGAGGUGAAAUUCGUAGAUAUUCGCAAGAACACCAGUGGCGAAGGCGGCCAACUGGACCAACACUGACGCUGAGGCGCGAAAGCGUGGGGAGCAAACAGGAUUAGAUACCCUUGUAGUC